UUUUUGGAGAGUUUGAUCCUGGCUCAGGAUGAACGCUGGCGGCGUGCCUAAUACAUGCAAGUCGAGCGGGAGAAUCAUCCUUCGGGAUGAGGAUCCAGCGGCGAACGGGUGAGUAACACGUGGGCAACCUGCCCGCAAGACCGGGAUAACUCCGGGAAACCGGGGCUAAUACCGGAUAGUCCUUUUCCCCGCAUGGGGAAAAGGGGAAAGGCGGCUUCGGCUGUCACUUGCGGAUGGGCCCGCGGCGCAUUAGCUGGUUGGUGAGGUAACGGCUCACCAAGGCGACGAUGCGUAGCCGACC
This 301-nucleotide ribosomal RNA is filed under the name Thermoactinomyces sp. CICC 24227. RNAcentral describes it as "partial 16S ribosomal RNA". It matches the Rfam family "Bacterial small subunit ribosomal RNA", at positions 1 to 292 of the family's 1533-position model. Lineage: Bacteria; Bacillati; Bacillota; Bacilli; Caryophanales; Thermoactinomycetaceae. The record is from RNAcentral.